CCUACGGGAGGCAGCAGUGAGGAAUAUUGGUCAAUGGACGGAAGUCUGAACCAGCCAUGCCGCGUGAAGGAAGACGGCUCUAUGAGUUGUAAACUGCUUUUGUACAAGGGUAAACCUGAAUACGUGUAUUCAGCUGAACGUACUGUACGAAUAAGGAUCGGCUAACUCCGUGCCAGCAGCCGCGGUAAUACGGAGGAUCCAAGCGUUAUCCGGAUUUAUUGGGUUUAAAGGGUGCGUAGGCGGAUUGAUAAGUUAGAGGUGAAAUGUCCGAGCUUAACUCAGGAACUGCCUCUAAUACUGUUGGUCUAGAGAGUAGAUGCGGUAGGCGGAAUGUAUGGUGUAGCGGUGAAAUGCUUAGAGAUCAUACAGAACACCGAUUGCGAAGGCAGCUUACCAAUCUAUAUCUGACGUUGAGGCACGAAAGCGUGGGGAGCAAACAGGAUUAGAUACCCGAGUAGUC
RNAcentral lists this ribosomal RNA (460 nucleotides) under uncultured bacterium. Its description in RNAcentral is "partial 16S ribosomal RNA". It matches the Rfam family "Bacterial small subunit ribosomal RNA", at positions 338 to 795 of the family's 1533-position model. The record is from RNAcentral.